RNAcentral lists this ribosomal RNA (253 nucleotides) under uncultured bacterium. Its description in RNAcentral is "partial 16S ribosomal RNA". It matches the Rfam family "Bacterial small subunit ribosomal RNA", at positions 524 to 776 of the family's 1533-position model. The record is from RNAcentral.
UACGAAGGUCCCAAGCGUUAUCCGGAUUUAUUGGGUUUAAAGGGUGCGUAGGCGGAUUAUUAAGUCAGUGGUGAAAGCCCCAGGCCUAACCUGGGAACUGCCAUUGAUACUGAUGAUCUUGAGUACAUUUGAGGAGGGCGGAAUGUGUCAUGUAGCGGUGAAAUGCUUAGAUAUGACACAGAACACCGAUUGCGUAGGCAGCUCUCUAAACUGUAACUGACGCUGAGGCACGAAAGCGUGGGGAGCAAACAGG